Molecule: ribosomal RNA, 301 nt
Filed under: uncultured bacterium
Lineage: Bacteria
Description: partial 16S ribosomal RNA
Rfam family: Archaeal small subunit ribosomal RNA
Source: RNAcentral
CAGUAGCCGCGGUAAUACCAGCAGCCCAAGUGGUGGUCGCGCUUAUUGGGCCUAAAGCGCUCGUAGCCUGGCCGGUAAGUUCCCCGUGAAAUCGGGUCGCCCAACGAUUCGGCUUGCGGGGAAUACUGUCGGUCUUGGGGCCGGGAGACGCCGAGGGUACUCCGGGGGUAGCGGUGAAAUGCUGUAAUCCUCGGGGGACUACCAGUGGCGAAGGCGCUCGGCGAUAACGGGCCUGACGGUGAGGGGCGAAAGCUGGGGGCGCGAACGGGAUUAGAUACCCCUGUAGUCCCUGUCUCUUAUA